UCAAACCAGGUUGUUCUCAUCACCUGUUCUGCAGGAGCAUUCAUCUUUCUCAUGCUGAUGCUCUCAGUACUGCUAUGUAAAUACUCAAAGAGAUGUAUAACAAAAAGGCCUGGACCAAAAGAAGAGCUUGAAAAAGUUUUUAGUGGUGCUGAAGGAGAAAACGGCCUCCUUGCCUUGUGAACAGCUCCCAUCUGCAGAUGCCGUCUGAAGAAAGUAUAGCUGCAUUGCAAAUAAAAAKGGGUUGCUCAAUGUUACAUUGGGAAAGAAGGUUCAUUUGUU
This is a long non-coding RNA of Nothoprocta perdicaria, 279 nucleotides long. RefSeq lists it as uncharacterized. Lineage: Eukaryota; Metazoa; Chordata; Aves; Tinamiformes; Tinamidae. The transcript is spliced from 3 exons. The record is from RefSeq and is a predicted model, not a curated record.